Pan troglodytes (chimpanzee) is the source of this 148-nucleotide non-coding RNA. It matches the Rfam family "Metazoan signal recognition particle RNA". Rfam says of the family: The signal recognition particle (SRP) is a universally conserved ribonucleoprotein. It is involved in the co-translational targeting of proteins to membranes. The eukaryotic SRP consists of a 300-nucleotide 7S RNA and six proteins: SRPs 72, 68, 54, 19, 14, and 9. NCBI's taxonomy places the organism in Eukaryota, Metazoa, Chordata, Mammalia, Primates, Hominidae. The record is from Rfam.
GCUGGGCAUGGUAGCAUAUGCCUGUAGUCCUAGCUGCUUGGGAGGCUGAGGCAGGAGGAUCACUUGAGCCUAGGAGUUUGAGGCUGCAGUGAGCUAUGAUUUUGCCAUUACACUCCAUCCUAGGUGACAGAGUGAGACCCUGUCUCUA